GUUUAUACUGUCGAUUACAGUUCCCACCUCAUCUCUGAGGUUUCUACUUGCUCCUCCGUCUCUUAACCACGAGCCUCUCCUCCGCUGAUGUCGUCGCCUCUCAUUCCUUCCUGAAGCUUUUCCCCUUCUCUGUCAAUGGAGUCUCCUGAAGCUGUUUCAUCUGUUUUUCUUCCCCUGCCGCCUGAACCACCAGAUCCCGACCUGGACGUGAUGCUUCUGGUGGAUCAUCCUGUCCCUCCAGUUCCCCCCCACCCUCCACCGAUUCUCAUAGAUGCAAGUGUGCUAUCUG
RNAcentral lists this long non-coding RNA (289 nucleotides) under Brassica napus (rape). RNAcentral's name for it is "long non-coding RNA (BNAP_LNC022943)". Lineage: Eukaryota; Viridiplantae; Streptophyta; Magnoliopsida; Brassicales; Brassicaceae. The record is from RNAcentral.